Molecule: transfer RNA, 75 nt
Filed under: Mollicutes bacterium
Lineage: Bacteria; Bacillati; Mycoplasmatota; Mollicutes
Also listed under: 3 other names
Description: tRNA-Asn
Rfam family: tRNA
About the family: Transfer RNA (tRNA) molecules are approximately 80 nucleotides in length. Their secondary structure includes four short double-helical elements and three loops (D, anti-codon, and T loops).
Source: RNAcentral
GCUUGCUUAGCUCAAUGGUAGAGCAAUCGGCUGUUAACCGAUCGGUUGUAGGUUCGAGCCCUAUAGCAAGCGCCA